AACGCGAAGAACCUUACCUGCCCUUGACAUCCUGCGAAUCCUGGAGAGAUCCGGGAGUGCCGAAAGGAACGCGGAGACAGGUGCUGCAUGGCUGUCGUCAGCUCGUGUUGUGAGAUGUUGGGUUAAGUCCCGUAACGAGCGCAACCCUUGUGCCUAGUUGCCAUCAUUAAGUUGGGGACUCUAGGGAGACUGCCGGUGAUGAACCGGAGGAAGGCGGGGACGACGUCAAGUCAUCAUGGCCUUUAUGGGCAGGGCCACACACGUGCUACAAUGGGGCGUACAGAGGGUCGCGAACCCGCGAGGGGGAGCCAAUCCCGAAAAGCGUCUCGUAGUCCGGAUUGGAGUCUGCAACCCGACUCCAUGAAGUUGGAAUCGCUAGUAAUCGCGAAUCAGCAUUGUCGCGGUGAAUACGUUCCCGGGCCUUGUACACACCGUAGUAC
Molecule: ribosomal RNA, 440 nt
Filed under: uncultured bacterium
Lineage: Bacteria
Description: bacterial SSU rRNA
Rfam family: Bacterial small subunit ribosomal RNA
Source: RNAcentral